Molecule: non-coding RNA, 417 nt
Organism: Poecilia reticulata (guppy)
Lineage: Eukaryota; Metazoa; Chordata; Actinopteri; Cyprinodontiformes; Poeciliidae
Source: RefSeq, a predicted model, not a curated record
GAUACCACCUGUUGUACUUUUGUCACACUUUAAAACCACAACUUGUGAAAUAGCGUCGAUUGUUGUGUUUCUUUGACGUCAGAACUCAUUUUUUYAUGUCCGUCUUCUCUCUGCAGGCCACUGUCACAGUGUACCAGGCCGUGGCAGAGUUCUGGACCAGUGAACAGAACCCAGGCUAUGAUCUAAAUGUGGACAUCUUGUUGCCGGGCAGAUCAAAGCCUGUAAAAUACAAUUUCAACAGGAGGAACCACUUUGCCACAAGAACAUCUAAAAUGAAUAAUAUAAACCAAGAUGUGACCGUCGUUGCCACAGGCCUAGGAGAAGCCACAGUGACGAUGGUGUCGUUGUUUUAUGCUUUACCUAAAGAAAAGCAUAGUGAUUGUCAGAAGUUCAAUAUGACAGUACAACUCCUCCCAG